RNAcentral lists this long non-coding RNA (208 nucleotides) under Lathyrus oleraceus (garden pea). RNAcentral describes it as "Pisum sativum (pea) long non-coding RNA (PSAT_LNC016355)". Lineage: Eukaryota; Viridiplantae; Streptophyta; Magnoliopsida; Fabales; Fabaceae. The record is from RNAcentral.
AAGUCAAGUGUCAGGUCCUCAAGCUAGGUACGACCGACAACCCAAGUACUUGAAUGUUAUGUACAAGAACGUACACCCCAGUUUGCAUUCCAGUUUGUUAUGAAAAUGUUUCAAAAAAGGGACUUGAAGUUGGAUUAAGUGUUUGAGUUUAUUAUGGAAAAUGUGUGUGAAAAAUGUAUGUGAGAGAUAGAAUGAGAUUGAGAAGCGA